GCUGGGCACAGUGGCACACACCUGUAGUCUCAGCUACUUGGGAGGCUGAGGCUAGAGGAUUGGUUGAGCCCAGGAGUACUGGGCUAUAGUGUGCUAUGCCAAUCAGGUAUCUUCACUAAGUUCAGCAUCAAUAUGGUGACCUUCCAGGAGUAGGGGGCCACCAGGUUGCCUAAGGAGGGGUGAACUGACCCAGAUCAGAAAUAGAGCAGAUCAAGAUACAUUUGAGAAUACCAGUUUUAAACACUACUUCAAGCUAUGGCAUUUGAAGUAAUCUCAU
RNAcentral lists this signal recognition particle RNA (277 nucleotides) under Sus scrofa (pig). RNAcentral describes it as "Metazoan signal recognition particle RNA (ENSSSCG00040057168.1, ENSSSCG00060006871.1)". It matches the Rfam family "Metazoan signal recognition particle RNA". Rfam says of the family: The signal recognition particle (SRP) is a universally conserved ribonucleoprotein. RNAcentral also lists the same sequence under 1 other name. Lineage: Eukaryota; Metazoa; Chordata; Mammalia; Artiodactyla; Suidae. The record is from RNAcentral.